CUAUUUGACUUUUUUAUUCAGUGAAAAAUGAUUUAAAAUAAAAUUUUUAUAUAAUUAUUACUUUUCACUUAGGGUGUAUUUGGUUCGAAGUCGGAAUCUGAAUUAGAACCGGAAUCGAAAUAAGCCGGAAUCAGAAUCAGAAUAACUCAUUACCAAUUCUGUUUGGUUCAUCAGCUGAAUCAGAAUCGGAAUAAACCAUUCCUAUUGACAGUGUUUCGUUCAAGUAAAUAUAAAAAAUGUAAUCAAAUUAAUAUACUAAAUUUAUCUUUAUAAUAUAUUAAUUUAAAUUCAAAUUAAAAAUUAAAUAUUAAAAUUAUACAUCAAAAUUUUAAAUCUAUUUUUAUAAAAAAAUUUAAACUUUGAAGUUGAGUGGAUAAUUCAAAAUAUAAAAAUAAAUUUUGAUUUAUUCAAAUUCAAACUUAAAAUUACAAUUUAAAUUUUAAUGAAUCCAUAAAUUUAAUUUAAGUUUUAAAUAAAAUUU
This 481-nucleotide long non-coding RNA is filed under the name Ananas comosus (pineapple). Its description in RNAcentral is "long non-coding RNA (ACOM_LNC025976)". Lineage: Eukaryota; Viridiplantae; Streptophyta; Magnoliopsida; Poales; Bromeliaceae. The record is from RNAcentral.